RNAcentral lists this ribosomal RNA (500 nucleotides) under uncultured Glomeromycotina. RNAcentral describes it as "partial small subunit ribosomal RNA". It matches the Rfam family "Eukaryotic small subunit ribosomal RNA", at positions 591 to 1092 of the family's 1831-position model. The record is from RNAcentral. Lineage: Eukaryota; Fungi; Glomeromycota.
CCAAUAGCGUAUAUUAAAGUUGUUGCAGUUAAAAAGCUCGUAGUUGAAUUUCGGGAUCAGUACGCUGGUCGUGCCUUUGGUAUGCACUGGUGUCACUGGUUUCUCCCUUCUGAAGAACCGUUAUGCCAUUUAUUUGGUGUGGCGGGGAAUCAGGACUGUUACUUCGAAAAAAUUAGAGUGUUUAGAGCAGGCAUGCGCUUGAAUACAUUAGCAUGGAAUAACGAAAUAGGACGUUCGAUUCUAUUUUGUUGGUUUCUAGGAUUGACGUAAUGAUUAAUAGGGAUAGCUGGGGGCAUUAGUAUUCAAUUGUCAGAGGUGAAAUUCUUGGAUUUAUUGAAGACUAACUACUGCGAAAGCAUUUGCCAAGGAUGUUUUCAUUAAUCAAGAACGAACGUUAGGGGAUCGAAGACGAUCAGAUACCGUCGUAGUCUUAACCAUAAACUAUGCCGACUAGGGAUCGGAUGAUGUUAAUUUUUUAAUGACUCAUUCGGCGCCUUACG